This 70-nucleotide transfer RNA is filed under the name Loxodonta africana (African savanna elephant). It matches the Rfam family "tRNA". From Rfam's summary of the family: Transfer RNA (tRNA) molecules are approximately 80 nucleotides in length. Their secondary structure includes four short double-helical elements and three loops (D, anti-codon, and T loops). Further hydrogen bonds mediate the characteristic L-shaped molecular structure. tRNAs have two regions of fundamental functional importance: the anti-codon, which is responsible for specific mRNA codon recognition, and the 3' end, to which the tRNAs corresponding amino acid is attached (by aminoacyl-tRNA synthetases). tRNAs cope with the degeneracy of the genetic code in two manners: having more than one tRNA (with a specific anti-codon) for a particular amino acid; and 'wobble' base-pairing, i.e. permitting non-standard base-pairing at the 3rd anti-codon position. Lineage: Eukaryota; Metazoa; Chordata; Mammalia; Proboscidea; Elephantidae. The record is from Rfam by way of RNAcentral.
ACAUUGGUGGUUCAAAGGUAGACUUCUCACCUUACAUGAGGGAAAUUGGGUUAGAUUCCCAGCUAGUGUA